RNAcentral lists this ribosomal RNA (274 nucleotides) under uncultured bacterium. Its description in RNAcentral is "partial 16S ribosomal RNA". It matches the Rfam family "Bacterial small subunit ribosomal RNA", at positions 523 to 796 of the family's 1533-position model. The record is from RNAcentral.
CUACAGAGGGUGCGAGCGUUAAUCGGAAUUACUGGGCGUAAAGCGCGCGUAGGCGGCUUAUUAAGUCAGAUGUGAAAUCCCAGGGCUCAACCUUGGAACUGCAUCUGAUACUGAUAGACUAGAGUUUUGGAGAGGGAAGUAGAAUUUCAGGUGUAGCGGUGAAAUGCAUAGAGAUCUGAAGGAAUACCAGUGGCGAAGGCGACUUCCUGGCCAAAAACUGACGCUGAGGUGCGAAAGCGUGGGUAGCAAACGGGAUUAGAGACCCUAGUAGUCC